AGUGAACGCUGGCGGUAGGCCUAACACAUGCAAGUCGAACGGCAGCACAGUAAGAGCUUGCUCUUACGGGUGGCGAGUAGCGGACGGGUGAGGAAUACAUCGGAAUCUACUUUUUCGUGGGGGAUAACGUAGGGAAACUUACGCUAAUACCGCAUACGACCUCCGGGUGAAAGCAGGGGAUCUUCGGACCUUGCGCGAUUGAAUGAGCCGAUGUCGGAUUAGCUAGUUGGCGGGGUAAAGGCCCACCAAGGCGACGAUCCGUAGCUGGUCUGAGAGGGUGGUCAGCCACACUGGAACUGAGACACGGUCCAGACUCCGACGGGAGGCAGCAGUGGGGAAUAUUGGACAAUGGGCGCAAGCCUGAUCCAGCCAUACCGCGUGGGUGAAGAAGGCCUUCGGGUUGUAAAGCCCUUUUGUUGGGAAAGAAAAGCAGCAGGUUAAGACCCCGCUGUUCUGACGGUACCCAAAGAAUAAGCACCGGCUAACUUCGUG
This 492-nucleotide ribosomal RNA is filed under the name uncultured bacterium. Its description in RNAcentral is "partial 16S ribosomal RNA". It matches the Rfam family "Bacterial small subunit ribosomal RNA", at positions 29 to 507 of the family's 1533-position model. The record is from RNAcentral.